GAUGAACGCUGGCGGCGUGCUUAACACAUGCAAGUCGAACGGUGAAGCAGGAGCUUGCUCUUGUGGAUCAGUGGCGAACGGGUGAGUAACACGUGAGCAACCUGCCCCUGACUCUGGAAUAAGCGCUGGAAACGGCGUCUAAUACUGGAUAUGUGAUGUGACCGCAUGGUCUGCAUCUGGAAAGAAUUUCGGUUGGGGAUGGGCUCGCGGCCUAUCAGCUUGUUGGUGAGGUAAUGGCUCACCAAGGCGUCGACGGGUAGCCGGCUUGAGAGGGUGACCGGCCACACUGGGACUGAGACACGGCCCAGACUCCUACGGGAGGCAGCAGUGGGGAAUAUUGCACAAUGGGCGGAAGCCUGAUGCAGCAACGCCGCGUGAGGGAUGACGGCCUUCGGGUUGUAAACCUCUUUUAGCAGGGAAGAAGCGAAAGUGACGGUACCUGCAGAAAAAGCACCGGCUAACUACGUGCCAGCAGCCGCCGUAA
This 484-nucleotide ribosomal RNA is filed under the name uncultured bacterium. RNAcentral's name for it is "partial 16S ribosomal RNA". It matches the Rfam family "Bacterial small subunit ribosomal RNA", at positions 28 to 523 of the family's 1533-position model. The record is from RNAcentral.